Molecule: ribosomal RNA, 493 nt
Filed under: uncultured Sphingobacteriales bacterium
Lineage: Bacteria; Pseudomonadati; Bacteroidota; Sphingobacteriia; Sphingobacteriales
Description: bacterial SSU rRNA
Rfam family: Bacterial small subunit ribosomal RNA
Source: RNAcentral
AGCCCGCUCAAGAAACUUAAUGAAUUGACGGGGCCGCACAAGCGGAGGAGCAUGUGGUUAAUUCGAUGAUACGCGAGGAACCUUACCUGGGCUCGAACGUAAGAUGACUGUAGGUGAAAGCUUACAUCUCUUCGGAGCAUUUUACGAGGUGCUGCAUGGUUGUCGUCAGCUCGUGCCGUGAGGUGUCGGGUUAAGUCCCAUAACGAGCGCAACCCCUACCUUUAGUUGCCAUCAGGUUAAGCUGGGGACUCUAAAGGAACUGCCUACGCAAGUAGUGAGGAAGGCGGGGAUGACGUCAAAUCAGCACGGCCCUUACGUCCAGGGCUACACACGUGCUACAAUGGCCGAUACAGAGGGCAGCUACCUGGUGACAGGAUGCAAAUCUCCAAAGUCGGUCUCAGUUCGGAUCGGAGUCUGCAACCCGACUCCGUGAAGUUGGAUUCGCUAGUAAUCGCGCAUCAGCCAUGGCGCGGUGAAUACGUUCCCGGGCCUU